GAUGAACGCUGGCGGCGUGCCUAAUACAUGCAAGUCGAGCGAACGGACGAGAAGCUUGCUUCUCUGAUGUUAGCGGCGGACGGGUGAGUAACACGUGGAUAACCUACCUAUAAGACUGGGAUAACUUCGGGAAACCGGAGCUAAUACCGGAUAAUAUUUUGAACCGCAUGGUUCAAAAGUGAAAGACGGUCUUGCUGUCACUUAUAGAUGGAUCCGCGCUGCAUUAGCUCGUUGGUAAGGUAACGGCUUACCAAGGCAACGAUGCAUAGCCGACCUGAGAGGGUGAUCGGCCACACUGGAACUGAGACACGGUCCAGACUCCUACGGGAGGCAGCAGUAGGGAAUCUUCCGCAAUGGGCGAAAGCCUGACGGAGCAACGCCGCGUGAGUGAUGAAGGUCUUCGGAUCGUAAAACUCUGUUAUUAGGGAAGAACAUAUGUGUAAGUAACUGUGCACAUCUUGACGGUACCUAAUCAGAAAGCCACGGCUAACUACGU
RNAcentral lists this ribosomal RNA (496 nucleotides) under uncultured bacterium. Its description in RNAcentral is "partial 16S ribosomal RNA". It matches the Rfam family "Bacterial small subunit ribosomal RNA", at positions 28 to 506 of the family's 1533-position model. The record is from RNAcentral.